RNAcentral lists this transfer-messenger RNA (428 nucleotides) under Candidatus Peregrinibacteria bacterium. It matches the Rfam family "transfer-messenger RNA". Rfam says of the family: Bacterial tmRNA, also known as 10Sa RNA or SsrA, is named for its dual tRNA and mRNA-like properties. Its role is to liberate the mRNA from a stalled ribosome. The record is from RNAcentral. Lineage: Bacteria; Candidatus Peregrinibacteriota. RNAcentral also lists the same sequence under 1 other name.
GGGGAUGUACAUGGUUUCGACAAGAAUGAUAAAGAAAUUCAUAUUGCGUGUACGGCGUCGCGCUGUCCGCCGGAAUAUCCGUCCAGCGCAAAUCUAAGUGCUAACGCAUUUAAAAACAUUGCAGCUGCAAUGAAUAGAGAAGCCGCUUCUGUGGCACCAUCUUUCGCAUUCGCUGCAUAAACCUUUCCCCUUUUUGGGAAAGUCGCUUCGCUCCGGACGUCUUAUAAGGAAACGAAGUGUCAUUCAUAAGGCUCGAGGGUUUGUGUGUUAGUAGCGCAAAACCUCUAAAAAUUACUACUAGAACUUAAUUGUGGCUUUUGCUUGUUCUCUAUCACUUUUAGGUUCUCAAACCAACAGAAUAAGCUACACAUGUAGACGUAUGCGUUUCUCAUUUUUGGACGGGGGUUCGACUCCCCCCAUCUCCACCA